RNAcentral lists this ribosomal RNA (981 nucleotides) under Neodeightonia subglobosa. RNAcentral describes it as "eukaryotic LSU rRNA". It matches the Rfam family "Eukaryotic large subunit ribosomal RNA", at positions 75 to 1410 of the family's 3401-position model. Lineage: Eukaryota; Fungi; Ascomycota; Dothideomycetes; Botryosphaeriales; Botryosphaeriaceae. The record is from RNAcentral.
UUGCCUUAGUAACGGCGAGUGAAGCGGCAACAGCUCAAAUUUGAAAGCUGGCCCUUUUAGGGUCCGCGUUGUAAUCUGUAGAGGAUGGUUCGGCGAGGGCUCCCGCCUAAGUCCCCUGGAACGGGGCGUCAUAGAGGGUGAGAAUCCCGUAUGCGGUGGGUUGCUUUAGCCAUGUGAACCUCCUUCGACGAGUCGAGUUGUUUGGGAAUGCAGCUCUAAAUGGGAGGUAAAUUUCUUCUAAAGCUAAAUACCGGCCAGAGACCGAUAGCGCACAAGUAGAGUGAUCGAAAGAUGAAAAGCACUUUGGAAAGAGAGUUAAAAAGUACGUGAAAUUGUUGAAAGGGAAGCGCUUGCAACCAGACUUGUCCGCAGUUGCUCAGCCGGUCUCCUGACCGGCGUACUCUUCUGCGGCCAGGCCAGCAUCAGUUCGGGCGGUCGGAUAAAGGCCUCGGGAAUGUGGCUCCUCUCGGGGAGUGUUAUAGCCCGGGGCGGAAUGCGGCCAGCCUGGACUGAGGAUCUCGCUUCGGCAAGGAUGCUGGCGUAAUGGUUGUAAGCGGCCCGUCUUGAAACACGGACCAAGGAGUCUAACAUCUAUGCGAGUGUUUGGGUGUCAAACCCAUACGCGUAAUGAAAGUGAACGGAGGUGGGAACCCGCAAGGGCGCACCAUCGGCCGAUCCUGAUGUCUUCGGAUGGAUUUGAGCAAGAGCAUAGCUGUUGGGACCCGAAAGAUGGUGAACUAUGCCUGAAUAGGGUGAAGCCAGAGGAAACUCUGGUGGAGGCUCGCAGCGGUUCUGACGUGCAAAUCGAUCGUCAAAUUUGGGUAUAGGGGCGAAAGACUAAUCGAACCAUUAACAUUGGCGGCCCUUUGUUACGCGCUUAGGCUGCUAGGUGGUUAAGAGGUAGCUAAAAGUGCUUACCUAGUCCCUCUGUCGGGGCAACAUCGUCAAACUGUUCGGGGACGUCCUUAGAGCUUAGACUAC